UUCGGGCCGGACACYGUGAGGAUUGACAGAUUGAUAGCUCUUUCAUGAUUCGGUGGUUGGUGGUGCAUGGCCGUUCUUAGUUGGUGGAGUGAUUUGUCUGGUUUAUUCCGAUAACGAGCGAGACUCUAGCCUACUAAAUAGUUACUGGAUAUCUAUUGUAAAUGUCCAGAUGACUUCUUAGAGGGACAAGCGGUGUUUAGCCGCAUGAAGUUGAGCAAUAACAGGUCUGUGAUGCCCUUAGAUGUCCAGGGCUGCACGCGCGCUACACUGGAGGAAUCAGCGUGCUGUAACCAUUGCCGAAAGGUAUUGUACUCAUGCAAUYUWG
Molecule: ribosomal RNA, 325 nt
Filed under: Cheilospirura hamulosa
Lineage: Eukaryota; Metazoa; Nematoda; Chromadorea; Rhabditida; Acuariidae
Description: SSU rRNA
Rfam family: Eukaryotic small subunit ribosomal RNA
Source: RNAcentral